RNAcentral lists this ribosomal RNA (519 nucleotides) under uncultured eukaryote. RNAcentral's name for it is "SSU rRNA". It matches the Rfam family "Eukaryotic small subunit ribosomal RNA", at positions 1161 to 1699 of the family's 1831-position model. The record is from RNAcentral.
AGGGCACCAGCGAAAGUGGAGACUGCUCAAGGAUUUGACUCAACACGGGAAAACUCACCCGGCCCGGACACUGGAAGGAUUGACAGAUUGAGAGCUCUUUCUUGAUUCAGUGGGUGGUGGUGCAUGGCCGUUCUUAGUUGGUGGAGUGAUUUGUCUGGUUAAUUCCGAUAACGAACGAGACUCUGGCCUACUAAAUAGAUCGUCGGCUUACAAACGCCGGCGAGACUUCUUAGAGGGACAGGCGGUGAUUCAACCGCACGAAACAGAGCAAUAACAGAUCUGUGAUGCCCUUAGAUGUCCGGGGCCGCACGCGCGCUACACUGAAGUGAUCAGCGUGCUUUUUCAACCUACUCUGUCAAGAGUGGGGAACCCAGUGAACCUUCUUCGUGAUUGGGAUAGGGGAUUGUAAUUAUUCCCCUUGAACGAGGAAUUCCCAGUAAGCGCGAGUCAUAAGCUCGCGUUGAUUACGCCCCUGCCCUUUGUACACACCGCCCGUCGCUACUACCGAUUGAAUGUUUU